UGCGGAAAUUAAAAUUUGCAGGAAGUAAAUAAGUGCGAUAAAUAAUAACUUACACACAGAUAUAUCCUGGUUUACCACAACGUGUGGCUACUCCAGUCCCCGAGAGACUCUCUCGAGAUUUUCCACUAACUUGUCAAGUUUCCGGGUGCUUAGCAAACCUUUACAACUUGAGGACGCAAGCCUCAAUACCUUUGCUCGGAGUUACAACACUCCAAGACUUCAACCAAGGAAACACAAGUUCCUUACAACAAGAGAAUCACAAUUCUCUUCCAAG
This 274-nucleotide long non-coding RNA is filed under the name Nicotiana benthamiana. RNAcentral's name for it is "long non-coding RNA (NBEN_LNC031387)". The record is from RNAcentral. Lineage: Eukaryota; Viridiplantae; Streptophyta; Magnoliopsida; Solanales; Solanaceae.